GAUCAACGCUGGCGGCGUGCCUAAUGCAUGCAAGUCGAGCGGGGUGGGCUUCGGUCCACUUACGCGGCGGACGGGUGCGUAACACGUGGGCAAUCUGCCCUGGGGUGGGGAUAGCCGUGGGAAACCGCGGGUAAUUCCGCAUACGGUGUGCUGUCGGCCGGAUGGCGCACGAAAGGGUCUUUCGAGACUCGCCCUGGGAGGAGCCUGCGGCCGAUUAGCUA
This 221-nucleotide ribosomal RNA is filed under the name uncultured bacterium. RNAcentral describes it as "partial 16S ribosomal RNA". It matches the Rfam family "Bacterial small subunit ribosomal RNA", at positions 28 to 247 of the family's 1533-position model. The record is from RNAcentral.